ACAAGCAGCGAGGUAUGUGGUUUAAUUCGACGCUACGCGAAGAACCUUACCUGGGCUUUGACAUGCUUGAGAAGGACAAGAAACUGGUCCCCCCAUGACCGCAAGGUCAUGGCUCAUCCACAGGUGCUGCAUGGUUGUCGUCAGCUCGUGUCGUGAGAUGUAAGGUUAAGUCCUUGAACGAGCGCAACCCCUUUCGUCAGUUGCAAACCAGCAAUGGCGCACCCUGACGAUACUGCCAGCUAAAAGUUGGAGGAAGGAGGGGAUGACGUCAAAUCCUCAUGGCCUUUAUGUCCAGGGCUACACACAUGCGACAAUGGUCGGUACAACGGGUUGCAACACCGCGAGGCGAAGCCAAUCCCUAAAAACCGACCUCAGUUCAGAUUGCAGACUGCAAUUCGUCUACAUGAAGAUGGAGUUGCUAGUAACCGCGGGUCAGCUACACCGCGGUGAAUAUGUUCCCGGGCCUU
Molecule: ribosomal RNA, 467 nt
Filed under: uncultured Caldisericum sp.
Lineage: Bacteria; Pseudomonadati; Caldisericota; Caldisericia; Caldisericales; Caldisericaceae
Description: bacterial SSU rRNA
Rfam family: Bacterial small subunit ribosomal RNA
Source: RNAcentral